UAGAUAUAUAUAUAUAUAUAUAUAUAUAUAUAUAUAUAUAUACUCUAUAAUAUAUAUCUAUCUUUCUAUCAAAUUUAUCAACUCGCAAUGUCUGAUAAAAAAAUUUCGAAAUACCGAAAUGCUUUUGAGAGUAGCACUGAAUGGGGGCUACGAAGAAAGUUCCUUAAAGUACAUCAAGAUAAGUUUGACGAAGACCGCCUGGUUUGCCUGUCCAUGUGUUACGUCAAUGUAGAGGUGUAUGGAUGCACCUAUCCUGCGCCAGUGAUGAAAUGCAUUCAACGACUUAAAGCUGAGUUAAAGUGAACUUUUACAUCUUUACCAUUCUUCCGUCUGGCCUGUAUUUUCUUGAGAUACCUGCUACAUACAUAUGCGUAAAAUGUAAAUAACUUUACUAUUUUUUUAAUUACAUAUCAAUCAUCAUCUGUACCAUUAGACAUUCUUCAUCAGUCUAAAUAAGGACACACGAUGUAGUUUAUGCACCCUUAAACAGAUGUAAUGGUCACGGCCGGAAUGCCUUUGAUCGUAGCUGUACCCGAUCUGACUUGACCUUCGACUAAACAAUAACAAUCGCUGUCUAAAUAAAUUACAUUAAUCUCCUGAAUUUAUUAUCUUGA
Octopus sinensis (East Asian common octopus) is the source of this 614-nucleotide long non-coding RNA. RefSeq lists it as uncharacterized. The record is from RefSeq and is a predicted model, not a curated record. Lineage: Eukaryota; Metazoa; Mollusca; Cephalopoda; Octopoda; Octopodidae. The transcript has 2 exons.